UUGACCUACGGGGGGCAGCAGUGGGGAAUAUUGCACAAUGGGCGCAAGCCUGAUGCAGCGACGCCGCGUGCGGGAUGGAGGCCUUCGGGUUGUAAACCGCUUUUGUUCAAGGGCAAGGCACGGUCUUUGGCCGUGUUGAGUGGAUUGUUCGAAUAAGCACCGGCUAACUACGUGCCAGCAGCCGCGGUAAGACGUAGGGAGCAAGCGUUAUCCGGAUUUAGUUGUCGUAAAGGGCUCGUAGGCGG
RNAcentral lists this ribosomal RNA (245 nucleotides) under uncultured bacterium. RNAcentral's name for it is "partial 16S ribosomal RNA". It matches the Rfam family "Bacterial small subunit ribosomal RNA", at positions 332 to 578 of the family's 1533-position model. The record is from RNAcentral.